GGCUUUGUACGAUCUACCAUACAGUUGUAGGAUGAGCUAUGCUCUCCGCUCCCAUCUAACAUAGGUAUCUUAUAGUUUACCACAUCGGAUAAAAAACUGACUGCUGCAAUACCUGCCCGAACAAACUGGUCUGAAAUGGGAGGUGAGGACUGCACGGCAUUCUCAGCAUCAAUGCUACCAUAUAUAACAGAUUCUACUCGCCCAGACACGGUAGAUGCGGGUAUAGCCUGUGGCCUAGAAGCUGGAGAAUCCAAAGGAUGGGAGGCGAGGACUGCACGGAGGUCUCAGCAUCAAUGCUAGCAUAAAUAACAGAUUCUACUCGCCCAGACACAGUAGAUGCGGGUAUGGCCUGUGGCCUAGAAGCUGGAGAAUCCAAAGUCUCAUUUUUUUUCGAGCUCACAGCCUUUACAGCAUCUCCAGAUAAUAAGGUACCUAC
RNAcentral lists this long non-coding RNA (436 nucleotides) under Nicotiana benthamiana. RNAcentral describes it as "long non-coding RNA (NBEN_LNC021011)". Lineage: Eukaryota; Viridiplantae; Streptophyta; Magnoliopsida; Solanales; Solanaceae. The record is from RNAcentral.